UACGAAGGGUGCAAGCGUUACUCGGAAUUACUGGGCGUAAAGCGUGCGUAGGUGGUUCGUUAAGUCUGAUGUGAAAGCCCUGGGCUCAACCUGGGAAUGGCAUUGGAAACUGGCGACCUAGAGUGCGGUAGAGGGUAGUGGAAUUCCCGGUGUAGCAGUGAAAUGCGUAGAGAUCGGGAGGAACAUCUGUGGCGAAGGCGACUGCCUGGACCAGCACUGACACUGAGGCACGAAAGCUAGGGGAGCAAACGGG
RNAcentral lists this ribosomal RNA (253 nucleotides) under uncultured bacterium. RNAcentral describes it as "partial 16S ribosomal RNA". It matches the Rfam family "Bacterial small subunit ribosomal RNA", at positions 524 to 776 of the family's 1533-position model. The record is from RNAcentral.